This 482-nucleotide ribosomal RNA is filed under the name Chloropicon primus. RNAcentral describes it as "partial Bacterial large subunit ribosomal RNA". It matches the Rfam family "Bacterial large subunit ribosomal RNA", at positions 2179 to 2670 of the family's 2925-position model. The record is from RNAcentral. Lineage: Eukaryota; Viridiplantae; Chlorophyta; Chloropicophyceae; Chloropicales; Chloropicaceae.
GGUCGAGUCAACGUUGAAAUACCACCCUUUGUUUAUUUGGAGCCUAACUUGAGAAAUCAAGGACAUUGCGUGGUGGGUAGUUUGACUGGGGUGGUCGCCUCCUAAAGUGUAACGGAGGUGUACGAAGGUAGGUUUGAUUGGAUUGGAAACCCUUUCUAAAGUGUAACGACAAAAACUUGCUUGACUGCGAGAUAGACAUAUCGAGCAGGGACGAAAGUCGGUCGUAGUGAUCCGGGAGUCCUUCGUGGAAAGGCUCUCGCUCAACGAAUCAAAGAAACGCCAGGGAUAACAGGCUAAUACCUCCCAAGAGUUCAUAUCGACGGAGUUGUUUGGCACCUCGAUGUUGAUUCAUUGCGUCCUGGAGGUGAAGAAGCUUCCAAGGGUUCGGCUGUUCGCCGAUUAAAGCAGUACGUGAGUUGAGUUCAGAACGUCGUGAGACAGUUCGGUCCCUAUCUGCCGUGGGUGUAGGAAUAUUGAGAAGA